CUAAGAUCAAAGUGUAGUAUCUGUUCUUUUCAGCUUAAUAUCUGAAAGUUCCCUCAUUGAGGGACCAGUAUAUUAAGCUGAUUUUUGUAAAACGAUGGGAUGUUCGGGGCUCGCUCCACUCCCGUCACGGGUCGGCCCGGCAUUGCAGUGCC
Molecule: small nuclear RNA, 152 nt
Filed under: Bombyx mori (domestic silkworm)
Lineage: Eukaryota; Metazoa; Arthropoda; Insecta; Lepidoptera; Bombycidae
Rfam family: U2 spliceosomal RNA
About the family: U2 is a small nuclear RNA (snRNA) component of the spliceosome (involved in pre-mRNA splicing).
Source: RNAcentral